RNAcentral lists this ribosomal RNA (408 nucleotides) under uncultured bacterium. RNAcentral's name for it is "partial 16S ribosomal RNA". It matches the Rfam family "Bacterial small subunit ribosomal RNA", at positions 28 to 526 of the family's 1533-position model. The record is from RNAcentral.
AUUGAACGCUGGCGGCAUGCUUUACACAUGCAAGUCGGACGGAGUGGCGAACGGGUGAGUAACACGUGGGUGACCUGCCCUGCACUUCGGGAUAAGCCUGGGAAACUGGGUCUAAUACCGGAUAGUGUGGGAUGGGCCCGCGGCCUAUCAGCUUGUUGGUGGGGUAAUGGCCUACCAAGGCGGCGACGGGUAGCCGGCCUGGGAGGGUGGACGGCGACAAUGGGACGGAGACACGGCCCAGACUCCUACGGGAGGCAGCAGUGGGGAAUAUUGCACAAUGGGCGGAAGCCUGAUGCAGCGACGCCGCGUGGGGGAUGACGGCCUUCGGGUUGUAAACUCCUUUCACCAUCGACGCGGUAGAUGGAGAAGAAGCACCGGCUAACUACGUGCCAGCAGCCGCGGUAAUUC